GGAUAUCAGUACAGUCCUGUUGAAUCUAUUGCCUUCAAAAAAUGAAAGAUCCUGGUACUCCUUUGAUUUCAUAUGUUAUAGGAGGCAUCACCUUUGACCGAUCCUUGUUAGACUUAGGAGCUAGUGUCAACCUACUUCCAACCUCGAUCUAUGAAAAAUUUGGGAUAGGAGAACAAAAAUCUACGUCGGUUAUUUUGCAACUAGCUGAU
Molecule: long non-coding RNA, 209 nt
Filed under: Elaeis guineensis (African oil palm)
Lineage: Eukaryota; Viridiplantae; Streptophyta; Magnoliopsida; Arecales; Arecaceae
Description: long non-coding RNA (EGUI_LNC081464)
Source: RNAcentral